Molecule: long non-coding RNA, 875 nt
Organism: Aquila chrysaetos chrysaetos
Lineage: Eukaryota; Metazoa; Chordata; Aves; Accipitriformes; Accipitridae
Exons: 2
Source: RefSeq, a predicted model, not a curated record
CAGAUUCUAUUUAGAUGUCACGAAUUUCUAGUGCAUGCAUUUUAUAUUUGUUGACUGAAACCAGAAAUGAAACAGGUUGAUCUAACAUUGUCCAUAGUAAAGUAAAAUGCAAAAAAGAAAGAAACCACAGUAACAAAGGAUCAUUUUUUAAAGAUUUCGGUACACUAGAAAUUUUAUAAAAUUGUUAGAAUUGGUGCAGAAAUUAUUUUUGAAAUAAAACAUCUGUUCUGGCUCUCCAGAAGUUGAUCUUUUGUAAUUUCUAUUAUGAUGAAACUUUUAAUAGCUCCAGUUAGCUCCUGCAAUCCCUUCAAGUAGGACCAAAAAAAAAAAUCUAGAACUGUUCAUCUUAUCGAAUGUGUGUUUUACUGUUAAAAAAUGGAUUACAGUUAGUGUACAAUUAGUGCCUAGUGGUUACGAUUAGUGGCUGAGCUACUGCAAUGUAUUUUAAGAUGCUUAUUUUCACCUUGCACUUCUUGAAAUGCUUAUAUCUACAGUAAAGUUAUAACUUGACAUAAAAACAUUGUUGCUUUAUGUUUGCAGAAAAUGGCAAAAAGAAUGGCACAACCACUGUCUUCAUUAUCUUAAGAGGAAAAAAAAAAUCUUAGAAAGUCUAUUGGGGUUGCUGGAUCUAACCUGAAUUGGGCUUGCGUUACAUUGAAGAAAAGCUAAGUUGAGAAAAGACCAUGGUGAUGAUAAGUUUCUCUUGCACUAUCCCAUUAGCUACUAAUUUAUAAAAAAUUCUUUGAAAGCAUAUAUUAUAGCUAAUUAUCAUGGAAAUGCAAAGAGUACCAUAGCCAUUAAAUGUGUAAGGGCAGAGUAGUAUUAUGUGGCCUAGGUGGAUGGCGUUUUAUAUUGUUCAAUAAACAUUAGCUGAG